AUGAGAAAGCCUGAGAUGUUCAACUACUUGAGAGAACUCAAAAUAUCUGACUGCCCAAAAUGCCAGAGUAUCCCUGUAAUAUGGCUCUCGGUCUCUCUAGAGAUUUUGGUCUUACAGAAGAUGGAUAACCUGAGAACAUUAUGUAAUAACUUUGAUGUGGAAGCUGGAGGAUGCAUUACUCCUCUGCAAAUUUUUCCAGGUUUGAAAAGGAUGAGGUUGAGUAAGUUACCAAGCCUAGAGAUAUGGGCAGAAAAUAGUGUGGAAAAGCCUCAUAUGUUUAACUGUUUGGAAGAACUCGAAAUGUCCGACUGCCCAAGAUGCAAGAGUAUACCUGUCAUAUGGUGCUCGGUCUCUCUGGAGAUUUUGUCCUUAGAGAGGAUGGAUAAUCUGACCACAUUAUGUAAUAAUGUUGAUGUGGAAGCCGGAGGAUGCAUUGCCCCUUUGCAAGUUUUCCCAAAGCUGAAGAAGAUGAGGUUAAUUGAGUUACCAAGACUAGAGAUAUGGGCAGAAAGUAGUGUGGGGGAGCCUAGUGAUAACUUGGUAACGUUCCCGAUGCUUGAAGAGCUAACAAUCAAAAAGUGCCCCAAGCUUGCAAGUAUUUCAGUGAUCCCCGUCAUCAACGACUUACAAAUAGUUGGGGUUCACAGUACUGUAGUUGGUUUAGUUUUUAAGGGCAUCCGUUUGGGCUCCUGGCCAUUUCUAGUUAUCUUAACUCUUGGGUCUCCGGAAGACAUACCCAUGUUGCCUCUAGGCGUCCAGCAAAGCCAAACUGAAAGACCUCUUGAAAAACUUAAGUAUUUGGAUCUGCAAGGCCCCAACAGCUUGGUCAGAAGCUGCCUAUUGUCCAGAUUACAACUUAUGGUUUGGAAAUGCUUUCCGUUCGUGGAGCAUUUGACGAUUAGCGGUUGCAGCAAUCUUGUCCGCUGGCCAACAGAGGAGUUCCGGUGCUUGGAUCGCCUCUGCUCUCUGUGUAUCGCGAAUUGUGAAAACCUGUAG
Molecule: ribosomal RNA, 996 nt
Filed under: Triticum aestivum (bread wheat)
Lineage: Eukaryota; Viridiplantae; Streptophyta; Magnoliopsida; Poales; Poaceae
Description: partial small subunit ribosomal RNA
Source: RNAcentral